AGAACGAACGCUGGCGGCAUGCCUAACACAUGCAAGUCGAACGAGACCUUCGGGUCUAGUGGCGCACGGGUGCGUAACGCGUGGGAAUCUGCCCUUGGGUUCGGAAUAACAGUUGGAAACGACUGCUAAUACCGGAUGAUGACGUAAGUCCAAAGAUUUAUCGCCCAGGGAUGAGCCCGCGUAGGAUUAGCUAGUUGGUGAGGUAAAGGCUCACCAAGGCGACGAUCCUUAGCUGGUCUGAGAGGAUGAUCAGCCACACUGGGACUGAGACACGGCCCAGACUCCUACGGGAGGCAGCAGUGGGGAAUAUUGGACAAUGGGCGAAAGCCUGAUCCAGCAAUGCGCGUGAGUGAUGAAGGCCUUAGGUUGUAAAGCUUCGUUUUAACCCGGGAAGAUAAGUGACGUGUAACCGGAGAAUAAGCUCCGGCUAACUCCGUGCCAGCAGCCGAC
This 450-nucleotide ribosomal RNA is filed under the name uncultured soil bacterium. RNAcentral describes it as "bacterial SSU rRNA". It matches the Rfam family "Bacterial small subunit ribosomal RNA", at positions 26 to 518 of the family's 1533-position model. The record is from RNAcentral.